RNAcentral lists this non-coding RNA (21 nucleotides) under Caenorhabditis elegans. The record is from RNAcentral. Lineage: Eukaryota; Metazoa; Nematoda; Chromadorea; Rhabditida; Rhabditidae.
UUACAAAAUUGAAAUAAAAUU